Molecule: ribosomal RNA, 495 nt
Filed under: uncultured bacterium
Lineage: Bacteria
Description: partial 16S ribosomal RNA
Rfam family: Bacterial small subunit ribosomal RNA
Source: RNAcentral
AUUGAACGCUGGCGGCAUGCUUUACACAUGCAAGUCGAACGGUAGAGGGGGCAACCCCUUGAGAGUGGCGAACGGGUGAGUAAUGCAUCGGAACGUGCCCAGUCGUGGGGGAUAACGCAGCGAAAGCUGUGCUAAUACCGCAUACGAUCUCUGGAUGAAAGCGGGGGACCGAAAGGCCUCGCGCGAUUGGAGCGGCCGAUGUCAGAUUAGGUAGUUGGUGGGGUAAAGGCUCACCAGGCCAACGAUCUGUAGCUGGUCUGAGAGGACGACCAGCCACACUGGGACUAAGACACGGCCCAGACUCCUACGGGAGGCAGCAGUGGGGAAUUUUGGACAAUGGGCGCAAGCCUGAUCCAGCAUGCCGCGUGCAGGAAGAAGGCCUUCGGGUUGUCAACUGCUUUUGUACGGAACGAAAAGGUCUGGGUUAAUACCCUGGGCACAUGACGGUACCGUAAGAAUAAGCACCGGCUAACUACGUGCCAGCAGCCGCAGUAA